UGAAUGAUGUUAUGGGAUAGGUUGGCAUGUUUGGUUGAGGUCCGGAGGGCCUCGGGUGUAUUUCGGAUGCUCAAACGGGCACUUUUGGUCUUUGGGAGAUUGCUGGUUUUCUGGUGUUUUAGCAGCAGUGGUUUGUUCAUUGCGAUCGCGUGAGUUCAUCCGCCAUCACGUAGAGUGAGGAUUGAGGCAGGCAUAUUUGUUCUAUGCGAUCCCGUAAGAAGGUUUGCGAUCGCAUAGGUCAGUGGGUUGCAGCUUUGCGAUCGCGUGGGCAUGUGUGCAAUCGUAGGUCUUAUUAGCAAAUAUUAUUAUAUGAUCUGGAUGAUAAUCAAAUAGAGGAAGGCUAUUUGCUCACCUGUGUUUCUUACCCAACAUCAGAUUGUGUAAUUCAUACUCACAAGGAAUCUGAUCUUUACUAGUUAUUUUUAUGUCAAAUAAUGUGUAUGGUCUUGCUUAAGGUGAAGCGGUUGGGAAAUUGCUCCGUUCUUGAGAAUGGUCAGCUGUAGAGUUCAAUCAGGAACAUAUUGUGUUAAAAUGAUGUUUGUGUGAUGAAACCUUGUUUUAGCUCUUAUUGGUGAUAUAUGUUUCAGUUUGCUUAACAAUC
Molecule: long non-coding RNA, 601 nt
Organism: Nicotiana attenuata
Lineage: Eukaryota; Viridiplantae; Streptophyta; Magnoliopsida; Solanales; Solanaceae
Exons: 2
Source: RefSeq, a predicted model, not a curated record